This 481-nucleotide ribosomal RNA is filed under the name Staphylococcus aureus. RNAcentral describes it as "bacterial SSU rRNA". It matches the Rfam family "Bacterial small subunit ribosomal RNA", at positions 1 to 535 of the family's 1533-position model. Lineage: Bacteria; Bacillati; Bacillota; Bacilli; Caryophanales; Staphylococcaceae. The record is from RNAcentral.
AAAUUGAAGAGUUUGAUCAUGGCUCAGAUUGAACGCUGGCGGCAGGCCUAACACAUGCAAGUCGAACGGUAACAGGAAGCAGCUUGCUGCUUUGCUGACGAGUGGCGGACGGGUGAGUAAUGUCUGGGAAACUGCCUGAUGGAGGGGGAUAACUACUGGAAACGGUAGCUAAUACCGCAUAACGUCGCAAGACCAAAGAGGGGGACCNNAGGCGACGAUCCCUAGCUGGUCUGAGAGGAUGACCAGCCACACUGGAACUGAGACACGGUCCAGACUCCUACGGGAGGCAGCAGUGGGGAAUAUUGCACAAUGGGCGCAAGCCUGAUGCAGCCAUGCCGCGUGUAUGAAGAAGGCCUUCGGGUUGUAAAGUACUUUCAGCGGGGAGGAAGGGAGUAAAGUUAAUACCUUUGCUCAUUGACGUUACCCGCAGAAGAAGCACCGGCUAACUCCGUGCCAGCAGCCGCGGUAAUACGGAGGGUGC